UUAUGCAAUAUUUUCUCAGGUGGUAUUGGUCUAGUAUAUACGUCUAUAGAGGUGAGCAGCAUUGUUUCCUGCCAGAGGAUGUUACCUUGGUUGUGUGAUGUCAGUUAUUGGAGCUCUAUAACCAUGACACAAAGAAUUAAAAGCCCAAGAAAACAGGACAACAAAAGCACCUGGAGUAAUCCUAAGGCCUUUAACUUUGAGAACCAUUCAUGUAUACAACAGUUCUUGAAGAACUGCAUACACGUGUGACUUUAAAAUGUUGUUUCCUGUAGGCAUCAGAUAGAGGCAUCACACAGCAGUGAGGAGGAAGAUUACACUCGUGUGCUGAGGGAGCCUUUGUCAAACACAUUCUCUCACAGUGCUGAAUACCUGCCAGAAGCAAAGUUACCUUCUUCAUCCCAGCAAGGUGCUGACAGUGGCUUCACACCCUCGCACCCAGCCAACGAAAGAAGAAGACACAAAGGCAAGGAUGAAAGGAGAACUGGACCCAGAAAAGACAGACUAAGUCUGGGUGAGAUAACAAGAACAAUGUCAUCGUGACAAAAAAAGACAAAAAAAGACUCUUUAAAUAAAAAGAAAGAUAGAUGUGAGGAGAUACUGUAUGCUGUUGCAAGAAUUCAGCCCUAAAAUGCUUUGGGGCGUCAUAUUGAUAUUGAUAUUAGGACAGUGUGGGUGAGACAGAAAUCUUGACCACUGAGGCCCGCUACUGUUUAAUAAUCACACUGCCAUUCUCUCCACGUUAGAUCAACCACUCAUUAUUAAAUUAAAGCUGCGUUCCUUUUACAGCGUGAGGUUGCUCCGAGAAAUUCCGACUACAUAUGGAACGCACUUUCUUCUCCUUCCCUCAAUUACAGAAAUCAAUGAAAUAAAUCAAACACCUUGGUCUGGUGCUACCUCAUCAUUUCAUGUUGUUCUCUUAUUGUAUUGAGAUUAUCGUAUUUCAUAUGUGGAUCAUGUUUGUAUUCUAUAUGAGAUGAGAUGAGAUUAGAUGAGAUGAGAUUCAACUUUAUUGUCAUUACUCAAAUACAAGUUUCGGGUAACGAAAUGAGGUUUGCAUCUCACCAGAAGUGCAACAAGCAGAAUGUGAAUAUAUAUGUACAGAAGUAGAUUUGUUCUAUGGAUAAGUAUAAAUAUAAAGAACAAAUGUGAAUAUAAAUGAGCGUUAUAAAUACAAGUAUAUUGUGCAGAUUAUUAUAUACAGAUAAGGUGCAGUGAAUACACUAUAUUAAGAGACAUAUGGAUAAAUGCUAAUUUACAGAAUAUUUGACAGAUUAUGGACAUAUUUUACAGGUGGAUAGCUUAUUGAGGUGGUAUGAACAUUCUACAUAAUAAAUAAACAACAAGAGAAUACAUUCUUCAUAUGUGUGGCUAAUUUCCUAACACAUAUAGAAUAGACACAUGUGGCUGGAUAGAGGUAUAGUCUCUACUUUGAGAAAAACAGUAACCUACUGUUGUUGUAUGUAUGCGUAGGUAAAUAGAGUCCUAAAUAUCAAUUCAAAACUAAACUAUUUUGUAACUGACAAAUACUUGUUAUUAU
Molecule: long non-coding RNA, 1537 nt
Organism: Solea solea (common sole)
Lineage: Eukaryota; Metazoa; Chordata; Actinopteri; Pleuronectiformes; Soleidae
Exons: 3
Source: RefSeq, a predicted model, not a curated record